GGCGCACGGGUGCGUAACGCGUAUGCAAUCUACCUUUUACAGAGGGAUAGCCCAGAGAAAUUUGGAUUAAUACCUCAUAGUAUAUUUGAGUGGCAUCACUUGAUUAUUAAAGUUCCAACGGUAAAAGAUGAGCAUGCGUCCUAUUAGCUAGAUGGUAAGGUAACGGCUUACCAUGGCUACGAUAGGUAGGGGUCCUGAGAGGGAGAUCCCCCACACUGGUACUGAGACACGGACCAGACUCCUACGGGAGGCAGCAGUGAGGAAUAUUGGACAAUGGGCGCAAGCCUGAUCCAGCCAUGCCGCGUGCAGGAAGAAGCAUCUUGGUGUGUAAACUGCUUUUGUACGGGAAGAAACACUCCGACGUGUCGGAGCUUGACGGUACCGUAAGAAUAAGGAUCGGCUAACUCCGUGCCAGCAGCCGCGGUAAUACGGAGGAUCCAAGCGUUAUCCGGAAUCAUUGGGUUUAAAGGGUCCGUAGGCGGUUUAAUAAGUCAGUGGUGAAAUCUGGUCGCUUAACGAUCAAACGGCCAUUGAUACUGUUAGACUUGAAUUAUUGUGAAGUAACUAGAAUAUGUAGUGUAGCGGUGAAAUGCUUAGAUAUUACAUGGAAUACCAAUUGCGAAGGCAGGUUACUAACAAUAUAUUGACGCUGAUGGACGAAAGCGUGGGGAGCGAACAGGAUUAGAUACCCUGGUAGUCCACGCCGUAAACGAUGGAUACUAGCUGUUCGGAGCAAUCUGAGUGGCUAAGCGAAAGUGAUAAGUAUCCCACCUGGGGAGUACGUUCGCAAGAAUGAAACUCAAAGGAAUUGACGGGGGCCCGCACAAG
RNAcentral lists this ribosomal RNA (828 nucleotides) under uncultured bacterium. RNAcentral's name for it is "bacterial SSU rRNA". It matches the Rfam family "Bacterial small subunit ribosomal RNA", at positions 97 to 929 of the family's 1533-position model. The record is from RNAcentral.